AUGAAAAGCGACUCUGGACAUUCCACCAUGGCUGAGCAGCAGAAACAGGAGGAGAAGCUCUGCCAUGCCUUGAAGAUCACUGCCCGUGUCCUUGGUACAGGCCUGAUCGUGUUCACUGCCUUAGCAAACUCUGUUUCUUGGUACGCGGAGGGUAUCUGGGACACCUUAGGCCAUUUCUGGCAAACAAAAUGGCUAGAGUUGUACUAUCUGUUUGAGGGAGACGAAUGGACAAUCUUCCUCCUUGGUAAGUGUUAACAACUCUCUGAACAGGCCUGGUAUGGACCUUGCAAGGUCCCAGGGAUCACCUCAACCUUAUCCUACUUGUAUUUUAAAACCACCCAUGACAGAGAGACCCCCCAAGCCUCCCAGAAAAGCCCAUUCUUAGCCUCAGUUGGUGGCACAUCGGACUG
Molecule: long non-coding RNA, 410 nt
Filed under: Calidris pugnax (ruff)
Lineage: Eukaryota; Metazoa; Chordata; Aves; Charadriiformes; Scolopacidae
Description: lncRNA (ENSCPUG00000001213.1)
Source: RNAcentral